Triticum aestivum (bread wheat) is the source of this 67-nucleotide non-coding RNA. The record is from Rfam. NCBI's taxonomy places the organism in Eukaryota, Viridiplantae, Streptophyta, Magnoliopsida, Poales, Poaceae.
CCAUUGCUCAGUUGGUAGAGCACAAGGCUCUUAACCUCGUGGAUGUGGGUUCAAACCCCAUGGUGGG